Molecule: ribosomal RNA, 483 nt
Filed under: uncultured bacterium
Lineage: Bacteria
Description: partial 16S ribosomal RNA
Rfam family: Bacterial small subunit ribosomal RNA
Source: RNAcentral
AUUGAACGCUGGCGGCAGGCCUAACACAUGCAAGUCGAGCGGAUGAAGGGAGCUUGCUCCUGGAUUCAGCGGCGGACGGGUGAGUAAUGCCUAGGAAUCUGCCUGGUAGUGGGGGAUAACGUCCGGAAACGGGCGCUAAUACCGCAUACGUCCUGAGGGAGAAAGUGGGGGAUCUUCGGACCUCACGCUAUCAGAUGAGCCUAGGUCGGAUUAGCUAGUUGGUGGGGUAAAGGCCUACCAAGGCGACGAUCCGUAACUGGUCUGAGAGGAUGAUCAGUCACACUGGAACUGAGACACGGUCCAGACUCCUACGGGAGGCAGCAGUGGGGAAUAUUGGACAAUGGGCGAAAGCCGAUCCAGCCAUGCCGCGUGUGUGAAGAAGGUCUUCGGAUUGUAAAGCACUUUAAGUUGGGAGGAAGGGCAGUAAGUUAAUACCUUGCUGUUUUGACGUUACCAACAGAAUAAGCACCGGCUAACUUCGUG